This 203-nucleotide long non-coding RNA is filed under the name Homo sapiens (human). RNAcentral's name for it is "non-protein coding lnc-ABCC2-3:1". Lineage: Eukaryota; Metazoa; Chordata; Mammalia; Primates; Hominidae. The record is from RNAcentral.
GUUUACUCAUGGUUAAACCCAGAAUACAGUUAGUGUUAAAGUAGAAAUGAAGCUGCAUUCCAGGCAGGAGAAUCACUUGAACCUGGGAGGCAGAGAUUGUAGUGAGCCAAGAUCAUGCCACUGCAGUCCAGCCAUGGUAAAAGAACAAGUCUCUGUCUUAAAAAAAAAAAAAAAAAAGGAAAAGAAAUCACUAGAAAUUAAGC